This 465-nucleotide ribosomal RNA is filed under the name Vreelandella stevensii. RNAcentral describes it as "partial 16S ribosomal RNA". It matches the Rfam family "Bacterial small subunit ribosomal RNA", at positions 338 to 795 of the family's 1533-position model. Lineage: Bacteria; Pseudomonadati; Pseudomonadota; Gammaproteobacteria; Oceanospirillales; Halomonadaceae. The record is from RNAcentral.
CCUACGGGCGGCAGCAGUGGGGAAUAUUGGACAAUGGGGGCAACCCUGAUCCAGCCAUGCCGCGUGUGUGAAGAAGGCCCUCGGGUUGUAAAGCACUUUCAGUGAGGAAGAACGCCUGGUGGUUAAUAUCCAUCAGGAAAGACAUCACUCACAGAAGAAGCACCGGCUAACUCCGUGCCAGCAGCCGCGGUAAUACGGAGGGUGCGAGCGUUAAUCGGAAUUACUGGGCGUAAAGCGCGCGUAGGUGGCUUGAUAAGCCGGUUGUGAAAGCCCCGGGCUCAACCUGGGAACGGCAUCCGGAACUGUCAAGCUAGAGUGCAGGAGAGGAAGGUAGAAUUCCCGGUGUAGCGGUGAAAUGCGUAGAGAUCGGGAGGAAUACCAGUGGCGAAGGCGGCCUUCUGGACUGACACUGACACUGAGGUGCGAAAGCGUGGGUAGCAAACAGGAUUAGAUACCCCUGUAGUC